UUCUUAUUGGAUGAUGACUGUCACGUAUCAUGUUAUGAUUGGAUGUCAACUCUAUGAAAGAUGAGAUGCAUUGUUGUUUUCAUUAACCAAUCAGAACAUGACCAAUCGU
Glycine max (soybean) is the source of this 109-nucleotide non-coding RNA. NCBI's taxonomy places the organism in Eukaryota, Viridiplantae, Streptophyta, Magnoliopsida, Fabales, Fabaceae. The record is from Rfam.